GAAGCUGGAAUCGCUAGUAAUCGCGGAUCAGAAUGCCGCGGUGAAUACGUUCCCGGGUCUUGUACACACCGCCCGUCACACCAUGGGAGUCGGAAAUGCCCGAAGUCUGUGACCCAACCGCGAGGAGGGANCAGCCGAAGGCAGGUCGGAUGACUGGGGUGAAGUCGUAACAAGGUACC
RNAcentral lists this ribosomal RNA (179 nucleotides) under uncultured bacterium. RNAcentral describes it as "partial 16S ribosomal RNA". It matches the Rfam family "Bacterial small subunit ribosomal RNA", at positions 1322 to 1500 of the family's 1533-position model. The record is from RNAcentral.